AAGAUGCACACUUAUCUGGCAGUUCUGGAGAUCAUGAAAACCUGAUGUUUAAAGAGCGUCCACACAACUUCUCAAAAAGUCAUGAUAUGUCUGACAAAGUGGAAGCUUCUCGUAAAGUAACAGAGCUUGAGAAUGAACUGAACACUAAGUGAGAAGAGAGAGGUCACCUGUACUCAAGCAGGUCUCACCUUGGCAGUCGAUUUGUGGGGUGGGCCUGAAGAGGAAGGAACAAAUGUCCUUCUAAGUGAUGUUUAAUUUCUUUUUCUGAAAUGGUUGCAAUUGAGAGAUGUUCCACAUCCAAGAAAUUUUGUCUUACUUUACCAAGAAAAAUCCUGCCUAGUUCUUAGAGAUCUGACAAAGGUGAAGUUACCCGUUCUUGUUAGCAUUGGCACUCUUGGACCCAGAAGGCAGAAUGAAGGGCUUUAAAGAUGACAGGGUGUUUCCUCUACCCUACCUUUUCCAUUGUCAUUCCAAGGGCAGUAGGCCUAGACAUUAUCUUUUUGUUCUUUCUAAAACCUCCAUUUUCCUACCAGACAGUGAUCGCCGAAAAUUUCAGAGCACUACUGUGUCUCUGGAAUGCUGAUUCUCCCAGAAUUUCUUUUAUUGUUGAGAAUAUUUUCCAUAUCCUGUGUUUUUUGUCAUUCUAGAUGAAUUUGAGAAUUGCUCUUGUCUGCAGGAGACAGGCCUCUCAGCCUAGGGCAUUCCUGUGUCAUUGGGGACCCUGUAUGCAGGAGACAGGUCUCUUAGGGCAGGUGAAAUGUUGCCUGUACGUUCUUUAAUUUGCAUGAGUUGGCUGCAAGGAGUUGUUAAUGUAAGGCGCACAACACAUCAUUCAUCUAAAAUGUGAGCCUCCUGAUCCAAUGUAAAUGUUUGAGAUUGAAUAUCUAAUUCAUAAUUUAAUUUCCAAAAUUCUAGAGAAAGGUUUCAGAUUUGAUGCUAGGGAUUUUAUUUUUAUCAAUUCAAAUCACCAGAAUACUAAUCAUUAGUGGAAAGCAAAGGUGACAGUUCUAUUAGAGUUAACUAAUACUUCAGUGGUUCCAAAGGCUGUAGAGCUCUCACAGCAUUACACAGCAUUCUUGCAAGCAGGAGCAAAGACGUCCGAGAUAAAUGGGAGCUCAUGGGUGGCUGUCAAACACAGCUAUCUCAGAAGUUGUAAAUUUAGUAAAGAGAUUUAUAAACUCUGUCAGGAAAGGAAGAAGCGUGUUGCUGUGCCCCCUGUGACUUAAGUGCUAUAAGAACACUUGUGUCAGUUGAGUCUGCAUCUCUUUCUCAGCGUAACAGAUUUAUUUAAUUUUAAUUCCUGAAUUUUGCAUCCUCACUCCUCAGUUGAGCUAUGGGAGAAAGGCCUGUUUGCUUAUUUUGUGUGAAAGGUGACUUUAUGAUUUCAACACAUUUUCUUUUUCAGAAUCUCUAAUAUGGUUUCAGAAGAACUUUCUGUUCCAUAGAAAUCUGUGCAUCAGGGAAAUAAUCACAAUUUUAAAUAAAACGGAAGCAUUUGAAACCCAAAAAUUCUUUUUAAUAAGAGCUGUACGAUCAAUUGUUGAAAUACAACCAUUAGUAUUUUUUACGUUUAUCAAGUUUCCUAUUUGAAAGCAUGUCUUUGUUUUUUCCUCUGUAAGAGAAUAGAAUGUCCCAGAGAGCUGAUGAAGGAUUUGCACACUUGUCUUGCCCAGGAAGUGCAUUCUCCUUGUGUCUGCAGCACAUAGGGAGCCUUUGAUAGCAUAAAAAGAAGCCUUUGAUACCUCCCAAAGAAGAGCAGGUACCUGCUGUCCCUAGUGCAUGGGAAGACAGAUGCACUCAAGAACCUGCAAGCAUCUGAAAACACUGCAUGUGUGUUUGUGAGACCUGUAGAGAAGUAGACUUGGCCAUCCCUGGACAGUGAGGUCAGAUGUGAAUAAGUGUUGCAAGAGCACAUUGAAUAGCAUACACUACUGUUGGGAAAUGUUUUCCUAAGGCCUGGACUCCCCAAACUACACACUGAUAAGCCCAUUGCCUUAAAGGUCUUCUGGUCAUUCACGUUUCAAAUGUAAGUGGCCGCUCAGUACUGAUGGAAGGAAGGUAUGUUUUAUUAUCAUGGCACAGGAUACACUGAUCCGUUCCAGCAGGCUGAAGGGUCAGUGGGAUGUUGUGUCCCCUCACCCUCAUGACUACUGUGCUUUAGCACGGGGAGCAGGACAGUGUCCAAAUCUCAGGGUUUGGGUGAAAUGUAAUGAUGGAGUUGGGAAGUUGCUGGUCAAAGGAUGUAAAGUUCAGAUGAACAGGGAAUGACUUUGAGUACUGUUACCUGUAGCCUAUGACACUCAGCAGUGUCCUAUAAAUAAUGCAAAGGAACUUUAAGAAAGGGGAAGCAUGUUUGAGGGUUUAAAAAGCUUGUGGGGAACUUUUUUGGAAGAACAGAACUUAUAUGUUGGAAUUAGUGUUUGUAUUUCUAUAUUUUAAUUUAUUUUUUUUAAUCUGUAGAGACAUCCCUUAGAAACUAGAUUUGGUGCUGACCCAGGACCAUGUCUUCUUGUGCUCCCUGUCCUGUGUGGGAUUUGUGGCUCAGGCCUACUGUGGCCCCUGGUCUCUGUACCACUUCAUUUUCUGCCAAAUCCUACAUGAGUCUUCCUUUGCCCAUUCCCAGGUAAUAAAGUGAUUUCAGAAACAGUUAUACUCAUGAAUUUAUUAUACAAUUAAGCAGAAUAGGGUGGUUGAUUGACUUGGCAGAAGAAAUUUUCAUCUCCUAAAGUGUCAGGUGAUUGUGUUUGUAUAAGAAUUUUUUUCAACCUGUUCACUCACAGCGCUGGGAGGUAAGUGCCAGUCUUGAGAUUGCCUAAACGUUUUAAACAGUAUGUAGAUAGUACUGCCCCUACUCGCCCUGUGAUCCCAGGCAGUCACAUACAGAACAGGAUGGGGGAUCAGGAGACAUCAGCAGACCACAGGUGUGGAUAAAUGUUAAAGUGUGAGAAAUGAACACAGAACCUGCGGGGCCUGAUUGAAGGACCCUAUAAGACAUUGUCUGUGUGGUAGACUCUCCUGAGAUGGUAGAGUGGAAGGGGAAGGGCCUCCUCCAUUACAAGUCUCAGGGGGCAGGAUCGCCAGUGGGCUGGGAAAGUGAUGCCUCUAGGUGAGAUGGGUAUUCAAUGCCACAGUAAAUUGAUUUGUAUUUUACAAGCACUGUAAAUGCGAAGGAUAUUGAAAGGUAGCCUGGAAAACUUCAGUGUAUGGGCAUAGAGCUCAUGCGCACGCAUGAGUGGCCAAUGAACAAUACCCGGCCCUCCUCUCUCGGACUUAGCCACGCCCUUCAUUAGAUCCUGAGGGGAUUUUUCAGAACAGAGGUUAUGGCAGUUUCACCAUCCAAUUCCAUUUUUAGCAGGUGUGCUUCCUGGCCAAAGGAGUCAGAUGAGUGCAUGAGCAGCCCCUUCGAGGACAAGGCUUGGAUUCCCAGGAGCAGACAAGGAACUCUGUGGGCAUACUCCAAGGAAACUGGACCUCCUCUGUCACAGGACAUCCACUGUUUAAGCACCAUCACUACCUCAGGAAGUCCACUGUCUGUGUGUCAACUCCACUGUUACAGGACCACAAGUGUCUCAGCACUUCAACUAUCACAGCACCUCUACUGUUCAGGAGCUCAAGAGUCUCAGCAUCUCAAGUGUCACAGGACCUCCUUUGUCCAAGAACUGGACUGUCCAAGCAACACUACUAUUGCAGGACUUCCACUGUAGGAGCACUACAACUGUCUCAGGACACCCACUGUCCUAUAACCUCCACUAUCCCAGGAAUUCCACUGUCGUAGCACCACCCGUAGCAACUAAAGUGUUUCAGGACAUCAACUGAAGCAAGAUCUCCCAUGAUUCUGCAACUUCACUGCCACAGGAUCUCUACAGUGACAGGAAUACCCCUGUAUCAGCAAUUCCAAUUUUGCAGGACCUCCACUGUAGCAGAACCUUCAAUUGUGCAGCAGCUCCCCUGUAAGUAGAUUGACCGCCACGAUCUCAGUGCCUCCACUUUCAAAGGACCUUCACUGUCACAGAACCGGCGCUAUUUCAGUGCCUCCACUGUCACAGGACCUACCUCUUCACAGGAUCUGCACUGUUGCAGCAACUGUAAUUUCAAUUUUUCAAAGUCAUUGCUGGUUAUUAGAUUUGAGGCUGAAUGAAAUGUGAUGCUACUUUUGACAGCAUAAGAAUUUGUUCUAUAGCUCUUGUGAUAAAUGCCGUGUGUGCUAGGACCAGUAACCUAUGGAAGACUUCAUGAGCUCAUACCACUCUCCACCUCACUUUGUGGAAGCUGGUGUUUUUAGAGUGUGAUAAACUUCAGGUGAAUGGAUUCAUUCAGCUGCACCACGCUCUAUAGUGUGCUACACAGCAAUCAUAUUGAGUCCUUGCUGGGAAGAGAAGAAAUCCAGAAGAGGGAGAAGGCUUGGGUUGGGGGAAGAAUCAUAAAAUACUUAGAGGAUAUAAGAAGGUAAGAAUUAUGGGGAACUGGAAAACAGAGCCAGAGGAAGAAUGAGCACAGAGCAAACUGGGAAGGACAAAGUACAAAGGCACGUGGGUUUUGCCAUCUGCGUGUUCUCUGGACAAUCUCCCUUGGCCUCAUUUCUGGGAGAAAACUCUUCCUCCACCCCCUUGUAAUGUUUCAUUCUUGAAGGAAAGCAGCAACACAACUUCAUCAGUGAAUUUCCCCAUUGUAAUUGGUUCAUCCUUUAAUGCCUCUGGGAAAUCCCGAGCUGGGGAAUGUCCUGCUCUCUGCUGAGAGACAGCCGGAAAGUAGGUUGUCCUCUGUUUUCUCGUUGCUACAGCUCUUCUAAGUGUGGAUGAUUGUUGAGUGAAGACACAGGACACUUCUGGUGUGUAUGUAUGCUUUGUUCACUGUGGGUGUUGUCGGGAGUGUCCUGAAAAGAAGAAGGGCAUGCCCAAUGACUCUUUGCUUCCUCUUUGACUAGCCUUAUGAUCAUAGAGAUACACUAGGCCAUUGGAAGAUGAGGAGAACAAUGUGUCUAUGUUGUGUUCACUUCUAUUCCUAUUUAGUCCUAGAGGGAAAUCAGGAAGGGUAGAGAAUGGGACCGUAACUGGACAAAGCUGCUGAGCCUGUGUUGUGAAGCAAUUCCUGUGUAUAACUUGCUGUUACAUUAAGCAAUAGGAUGCCAUGUUCUGGUUAUACCUUUUUGAUGCAAUGAAUCUAUAAUAUUUUACCUAAAACCUCAAUAUAUUACGUUUCUUCCUCUUUUGGAGUAUCUGGUAUGGGAGGGAUCACUUCUUCAUAAGGAUUUGUGAACCUCUUCCAGUUUUCAUUGACCAGGGGUACAUCAUCACCUCUGAGACUGUCAGCCCAUAGUUUGGAUUGACUUUUAUUAAGAGGCUAAGCUGCCUCUUCUGACACCCCACAGUGAGCAGGGUACACACCUGCUACAACCUGUCUUCUGAACUGUUGUAUGACAACAGAGUCAAAUACAACAGUGAAAUAUAAGCCUACUCCCAAGAUCCAUACGUUGUUGUUGUUUAUUUUUUUACACCAUCAUAAAGUUGUCCUAGGAAGAGAUCAGGUGCACCAAUAGGGUAAGCACCAUGCUGCCAGUUCAGCAUUUGCCCAGGUUUGUCUUGAGUUGAAGACCAAAGUCGAUGCUUUUGACUUUUCCGUUCUUCUCUAACAGAAUAUAAUCUGGUUUCAGGUCACUGUGAACUUAUACAGUGCCCAUAGCCAUAGAUAAAGACUGCUAACAUUUGCCUAAAUAUUUCCUUGGCUCCUUCCUCCUCUCGGUGGAAAGAUUUUCAGAUGUAUUUGUAAAGCUCUAAAAUUUCAACCAGUUUCACGAUAAGUUAUUAGAAUUGUCUCAGACUCAAUUGGAGAAGCAAGAUGAUGUUGGGUUGGAUGAAAAACUUCAUUAUAUUUGCCAUGGUCAUGUUUGGCUGGCACCAUUGCUUCUUCUUUGCAUGCACUUUGAUAACCCCUGUAGCAGAACUUCCACUGUCCCGGCACCUGAACUAUCCCAAGACCUCCACAGUCAAAGGACCAAUAUUGUGGUAGGGCGUCUGUGGUCAGGCAACUCCUCUGUCUCAGACCCUCCAAAUUGCAAGACCUUUACGGGCACUGGAAGUCACUGUCCAUAAACUUCCACUGUUGGAGUACCUCAACUAUAACAAGGACCUCUACUAUUGUACAACCCCCUUGUCAUAGCACGUCUAUUGUUACAAAGUAGUCCACUGUCAAAGGACCUCCAGGGUCUCAGCCUCUCCACUGUUACAGGAUCUCUACUGUCUUAGGACCACUGCUGUUGGAGGACCUCCUGUCUCUCAGCAACUUCAGUUUGUUGGAGCUCUCCUAUCAGAGGACAUUUACAUUUUCUGUACUUCCAGUGUCACAGCUGUUAUAAGAACCUCCGUUCUCACAGGACCUCCAGUGCGUCAGUACCUCCACUGUCCAAGGACUUUUAUAUAGUAGGACCUCUACUGUCCUACAGAAUGUCCACUGUCGCUAGAUUUCCACUGUCACAACACCGCAACCAUUACAAGAACUGCAAUUUUGGCAUGACCUCCAGUGUUCCAGCCCCUCCAGUGUCAUAGGACCUCCACUAUCACAGGACGUCCACUGUCUCACCAAGGCCAAUUUAAAGGACCUCUACUAUAACAGGGUAUCCACUGUAGCUGGACUUACACUGUUGCAGUACCUCAACUGUUGCAGGACCAACAAGGUUGCAGGACAUAGACCCUCUCGGCAGCUAGAAUUUGCAGGACCUCUACUGGCACAAAAAUUCCACAGUUGCUGGAGCUCCACUGUCACUGCAAAUGCACUGUCUCAUGAUAUUCACUGUUGCUGGACCAGUAGUGUGGCAGCACAUCCAUUUUUGCCAAGCCCCUCCACUGACGCAAGACUUCCACUUUUGUAGCACCUUCACUGUCCAAGCAAACCAACUCCUGCAGGAUCUCCAUUGUCUCAGGGCAUUCACUAAUGCCAGCUCUCCAAUGUUGUAAGAUAUCCACUUUCACAACAGCUAGAAUCUUGCAGGACCUCUACUGGCAAAGACAGUCCACUGCUGCUGGCUCUCUACGGUCAGUGCCAAUGCACCGAUUCAUGACCUCCAUUGUCACAGGACCUCCACUUUUGUAGGACCUUCACUGUCCAGGCAAACUGCAGGAUCUCCAGUGUCUCAGGACAUUUACUGGUGCAGAGCCUCCCUUUAUUCCAGACUUCAACUAUUCCAAGGUCAUCUACACUGUCUUAGGACCUCCAAUAUUGCAGGACCUCAAAUGUCCCAGGACCUCAGGUGACAUAGCACCUCCAUUGUCCCAACACCCUUACUGUCCCAGAACCUCAAUUUUCCCACGACCUAUUCAGUUGCAUGACCUCCAAAGUUGGAAGAACUGCACGGUAUGAGAGCCUCAACUGUUGUAGGACCUCCAAUGUUGUAGGAACACAAUAUUCCUACACUGGACCUACACUGUCCAUCACCUUCACUUUCCUAGCACCUCCACUCUCACAGAACCUACACUGUUGCAGGAACUCCAUUGUCUGAGCACCUGCAUGUCUCAGGACCUCGAAUGAUCCAGAACCUCUAAUGGUGCAGGACCUCCACUGUCACCAGACUUCCACUGUCUCAGGACAUCCACUCUAUCACCAACUAGACUUUUGCAGAACUUCUACUGGAACAGGAUCUCCAUUGUGGCUGGUCUUACAUUGUCUAAGGCCUCCACUAUCACAGACUUUCAGAUGAAUUUGUAAAGCUGUAGAACUUCAAAGAGCUCCAUGAGAAGGUAGACGUGUCUCAGACUCAAUUCCUUGGUGAAGCAAUAUGAAUUUGGGGUGGAUUAAUAUCUUCAUUAUAUUUGCCAUGGUCUGGUCUGGGUGGCAUCCUUGCUGCUUCUUUCCAUGCAUUUUGAUAACCAUUGUAGCAGUACUUCCACAGUCCCAGAACCUGCACUACCCUAAGAACUCCCUUGUCACAGGACAUCCACUCUGGUAGUACCUCGGCUGUCAGGAAACUCCACAGACUCAGUACCUCCAAACUGCAAGAUCUCUACUGGCACAGGAAUUCUACUGUCCCUGAACAUCCACUGUCACAGCACUUCAACUGUUUCAAGGACCUCUAUUGUCGCAAGACCUCCUAUAUCACGGUUAUAAGGACCUGCAUUGUCAAAUGACCUCCAUUGUCUCAGCCCUUCCACUUUCUCAGGACCUCCAAGCUGCAGGAACUCUACUGGCACAGGUUAUCCAUUGACACUGCUUUUCCACUGUUGCAGUACCUCAACUGUUAUAAGGACCUCCGCUGUGGCAGGACCUUCAGUGUCUCAUCAACUUCACGGUGAGCAACACCAAUGUGCAAGACCUCUACUAGCACAGUAUAUGCACAGUAUCUAUACUUAGACUGUUGCAGUACCUUAACUGUUGCAGGACCUCCAAUUUAGAACAUGCACUCUUUUAGCAGCCAGACUUUUGCAGGACCUCUACUGGCACAAUAAUUCCUCUGUUGUUGGACCUCUACCGUCAGUUCAAUGGCACUGACUCAUGACAUCCACUGUUGCAGGACCUCCAAUGUUGAAGGAUGUUCACUGUUGCAGGGCAUUCCCUGUCAAAGGACCUCUGUUGAUGCAGGAUCUCCACUUUCACUGUUCUAGCAAACCAACUAUUGCAGAACCUACAGUGUUGGAACAACUGCAUUGUAUCAGGACAUUUACUGUUGCAUGACCUGUAGUGUGGAAACACCCCCAUUUUUACCACAUCUCAGCUGUCCCAGGCCCAUCUCCACUGACUGAGGACCUCCAAUAAUGCAGGACAUCCAAUAUUUCAGGACCUCAAAUGUGCCAGGACCUCAACUGAUGAAGGAUCUCCAAUAUCGCAGCACCAAAACAGUCACAGGACCUCCAUUGUCCCAUCACCUUUACUGUCCCAGCACCUCCACUCUCACAUGACCUACAAUGGUGCAUAAACUCCAAUGUCCGAGCAACUGCACUGUCUCAGGACCUCGAUUGUUCCAGAACCUCCAAUAGUGCAGGACCUCCACUGUCACCAGAUCUCCACUGUCUUAGAACAUCCACUCUAUCACCAACUCGACUUGUGUAGAACCUCUCCUGGCACAGCAUCUCCAUUGUGCCUGGUCUGACAUUGUAUCAAAACUUCAGCUAUCACAGGAAUUCCACUGUAGCAGGACCUCCUCUGUCUAAAGACAACCCCUAUUGCAGGACCUUUACUGUGCAAGGAACUCCACUGUUGCAGGACAUCCAUUCUUGCAACACCUGCAUUGUCUCAGGACCUCCACUGUACCAAUCCCAUCUCCAAUGUCUCAGGACGCCCACUCUUUCAGGACCUCCACUGUUGCAUGAUCUUGAAUGUAAAAGGACCUUCGCUAUCUCAGUGCCUCCACUGUUGCACGAACUACAAUGUCUCUCAGUGCCUCCACUGUUGAAGGACCUACAAUGUCACGGGUGCUGCACUGUUUUAUCAACACCACUAUCACUUAUUACAAGGCUUUGCUGGUUAUUUUGAAGCUUAAUGGAGAAUGAUGUUACUUUUGACAAAAUAAGAAUUUGUUCCAAAUCGCUUGUGAUUUAUUGCCAUAUGUGCAAGGAUCAGUUGCCCCUAGAAGAUUGCAUGAAUCCAUAGGCCUCUAGACCUCACGUUGUGGGAACCGUUUCCUUUUGGUGGUGAUACCGUCCUGGUAAAGGCAUGGGGUAACAGGACAACUCUGAAGUCUGGAGUACACAUCAGUCAUAUUGAGUCCUUGUUCGGAAGAGGAGAAAUCUAGAAGAGGGAGAAGAAUUGGCGGAAGAAUCAUACAGUACUUAAAAAGUUAAGACAGAAACGAUUUUGCAGAAAUGGAUACCAGAGACAGGGCUAAGCAACACAGAGCAAACUGGGUAGAACAAAGCACAAAGGUACCUGUCCUUGCCUGCCUGCCGCUUAUUUUUUGGAUGCUGUCUCCAGCCCUCAUUUCUCAGGAGAGAUACUGUCCUGUCCCAGGAGAGUUUUCUUGCUUGAUUGAGCACAGGAACACUGCUUCAUUUGGAUAUUCCUAAUUUCUUGGACCAUCCCUUGAAUCCUCUUAGCCAGCCAUUGAUGGGGACAGACUCGCCCUCUCCUCAUGCACAGAGAGAUAAUAGGUUGUCUUCUGUGUUCUCAUUGAUGCUUCUGUUCGGCCUGAGGCUGCUUGUUGAAUGAAGGAAGAAGACACUCUGGCAUGUAUGUUUUGUCCAGGUCAUCUCUAGUGGCCUGAGAAGAAAGCCAGUCCCAGUGGUUCUUCUGAAAGCUCUAUGACUAGAAUAUGGACAAAGGCAUAAAUGAGGCCAUGGGGUUGACAAGUCCAAUGUGUCAAUGGUGGGUUGGUUUCCACUCCUCUGCAGUCCAGUCCUAGAGGGACAGCAGCAUAAUCAUUAAGGGUAGGGAAUGGAGCCAUUACUAGACUCACUGUCUGAGCCUGGGUAUGAAGCCAGCCAUCAGAAUUGCCUGUCCUUCCAGUAAGCAGUUGGAUGCCAUGAUCCGCUUAGACUUUCUUUGAUGUAAAGAAUCUUUGUCUUGUGUUUUGAAUGGAACAUGUUGCACUACAUCCAAAAUUCCAGGGUGUGGCCUGAGAGGUAUCAUUUCUUCAUAGGGAUUUGGGAAACGCUCCCAAUCUUCUUUGAAACAGGGGUGCAUUAUCAUGUCUGUGACUGCUAUUUCUGGGUUUGACUGUUAUUAAAUGCUAAGCAGGUCAUCUAGCUCUCUUGAAACCCCACAGUGGUCAAGAUGUACACCUGCCACAACCUGUCUUUUCAGCUCUUAUAUUAAAACAGAGGUAACUUUUUCAGCUACCAUAAAAUGUAAGACUAACAUUCAUAUGUGGUUCUUUGGACCAUCAUAAGUAUAACCCAGGAAGAGUUCAGGGGCAUCAAAAGUGUUAGCACCAUAGUACAGGUUCAGCAUUUGCUCUGGUUUGUCUUGGGUACUAAGGCCAGUGUCGAUGAUUUUGACUUUAUUGUUCUUAUCCACCAUUUUAUUUGUUUUGAAGUCCUGUAUUUAUUCUGUGCCCCUGACAGUAGAUCCAGGCUGCUAAUAUCUGCAUAAGUAUUUCCCAUGCCUUGUCUUUCACUAUGUAGCCAUACUUUCAGAUACAUUAAUGAAGACAUUGAACCUCACACAGCUCCAUGACAAGGAAUCUACUUGUUUUCGUCUCAAUUAUUGAAGAUGAUGUUGGAGUGGUUAACCACAAUUGUCAUCAUUGCCGUGGUCAUUAUUGGAUGGCAUAAGUGCUUCUUCCUCUUAAGGACUUGGAGGCCACUGUAGCAGGACAUCCACUGUCUUAGCACCUGCUUUUUCCCCACACCUCCACUGUGCUGACUGUCCAAGCCUAUUUUGUGCUGUCUUGCCUGUGAAAUUCCUGCCUUUGCAGAAGGAAGUAGGAUGCCAUGGUCUGCUUAUAAUUUUGUUCAGUUGAAGUGUCCUUAGUUUCCAGCACUUGGAAUCCUAUAUAUUCCAUUGCUCUUAUACUUACAGGGUCUGGCCUGAGGGGGAUCAGUUGCUCAUAGGGAUUUGGGAACUGCGUCUAGCCUUAGUUGAACUAGGGUUGCAUCAUGACCACAGUGACUUUUGGCCUAUAUCUAGGGUUGACUGUCAUUAGGAGGCUAAGUAGGUCCUUCUGACACCACACCAGAGGCACCACACACUCCUGCUACAACCUGUCUUCUCAACUCUAGAAUGAAGAGAGAGUCAAAUGGAAACUUUCUGACUGCCAUGAAAUAUAAACCUCCACCUAAGCGUCAAAUUUAGUUCUUUGGAACGUCAUAAAAUUUGCCAAAGAAGAGUUCAGGAACACAAAAAGUAUAAGUACUGCAGUGCUGGUUCAUCAUUUACCCUGAUUGGAAUGGGAUACUAAGGCCAAAGUUGGUAAUUUUGACUUUCCCAUUGAUGUACAACACAAUAUUCUUUGGCUUUAGGUGCCUGUGAAAUAUUGUGUGCCCAUAGCAGUAGCUCAUCACAGCUAUUAUUUACACAAUAUUUUGCUGGCCUUGCCUUGCUCUAGGUAGCCAUACUUUUGGGUGUAUUUGUAAAGCUGUUGCCCUUCAACCAGCUCCAUGAAUAGAUGUAUUGUUUUGGUCUAAAUUACUUGAAGAAUCGAGAUGAUGUUGUGGUGAUCAACCAUCAUCAUCACUUCCAUGGUCAUUGCUGGCUGGCAUUAUUUCUUCUCUAAUACAAGGACUUUGUUGGACACUGUCACAGGAACACCAGUGUGGUAGAAACUCUGUUGUCAAAUCAACUCCACAUUCUCAGGGCCUCCAAAUUGCAGGGCCUCUCCUGGCACAGGACAUACACUUUCCCUGUACUUCUACUCUCACAGAGUCUCAACUUUUCAGGACCUGAACUAUUGUAGGACCUUCACUGUUGCAGAAAAUUGAUUCUCUCAGCAACUAGUAUGUUGCAGGACCUCAGCUCGCAGAGAAAUUCCACUGCUGCAGGACCUGCAAUGUCAAUGUAAAUCUAGAGUCUCAAGACCUCCACUGUUGCAGGAGCUCCAGUGUUGUAGGAUGUCCAAUUUUGCAGGGCCAUCACUGUCAAAGGACCUCCUCUGUCACAGCCUAGACCUUCAGACUUAACUGUAAAACUAGUGGCAUUCAAGUAGCACCAUGACAAGGUAUUAUCUUGUCUCAGACUCAAUUACUUGCGUAGUGAAAUGAAGUUAGAGUGGUCAAAAAUCAUCAUCGUUACAAGCACUUUGAUGUGCACUGUAGCAGGACAUCCACUGUUCCAGUGUGGCUUCUGUCCCAGUACCUCCACUAUCACUGGACCUCCAGUGUCAUAGGACCUUCUCACUAACAGCGGCUGCAUUGUCAGGACCCUCAAUUUUCAGGACAUCUACUGUCACAGUGUGUGUACUGUUGCUGGACUUUCAUUGUCACUGCACCUAAACUGUCACAAGGUCAUCCAAUGUCACAGAGCAGUGUCUCAGCACCUCUACUCUCCCAGGACCCCACAGUCACAGGACCUCCAAUAACUCAGGAAAUCCAAGUUCCAUUACCUCAACUGGCAUAGCAUGUCCACCCACUGAUGUUGGACUUUCACUGUGGUAGCACCUCAACUAUCACAUGAAGCCCACUAUUGAACGACCUCCACUUUUCAGGACAUCUAUUUCCUCUGAAACUAGAAUUGGCAGGACCUCCUCUGUCACAGUACGUCUACUGUCGAAGCACUUCCACUAUCACAGGACCUCUAGUGCUGCAAGGCUUUCACUAUUAUAGCAUUUCUAUUGUCGCCACACCUCUACUGGCUCUCCUACACCUGUACUGUCCCAUCACCUCCUAGGUCAAAGAUCCUGACUCGUGCAUCAAUUGAAGUUUUUCAAGACCUCCACUGUAGCAGCAUAUCCACUGUCCCAGCUGCUACUCCACUGUCAAAGGACCUGAAAUGUCUUAGGAACUCCACUGUUACAGGACCUCAACUGAUGAAGCACCUCAACUGUCACAGUACCUCCACUCUUGCAGUACCUCCAAAAACUCAGCCACUCCACUGUCACAAGUCUUCCAAUUUGAAGGAACUCGACUGUUGCAGCACCUCCACAGUUGUCGAAGCACCAUUGAUAUGGCACUUCCCCUGUCCUGGGACCUCCAUAGCUUCUACUCUAUAUUCUGAGGACCUCAACUGUUGAAGCACAUCCACUGUCCCAGGACCUCCAUUGACAAUGGACCUCAUUGUGUCAGGAACACCACUUUUGCUUGGUCUGUCCCUAUAACCUCUGGGCUGGCACUAGCUGAGGACAGACUUUCUCCCUACUGAGGCA
This is a long non-coding RNA of Rattus norvegicus (Norway rat), 13720 nucleotides long. RefSeq lists it as uncharacterized. Lineage: Eukaryota; Metazoa; Chordata; Mammalia; Rodentia; Muridae. The record is from RefSeq and is a predicted model, not a curated record.